CACUAGCAACAAUAAGUCGUUGGGCCCAACCAUCGGCCCAAAAUGCUUAAGCUCAGUUAUUAUUACUAGUGUCUAAGUCUCUUAUAUACCCAAUCACAUCCCCAUUCCUAUCCGAUGUGGGAUUAUUGGGGUGUGACAGACUCCCCCUGUUAAGGCCCUGACGUCCUCGUCAGUCCAAUCACACACAGAGCCUAAAAUCACCAGACGAU
RNAcentral lists this long non-coding RNA (209 nucleotides) under Ananas comosus (pineapple). RNAcentral describes it as "long non-coding RNA (ACOM_LNC013335)". Lineage: Eukaryota; Viridiplantae; Streptophyta; Magnoliopsida; Poales; Bromeliaceae. The record is from RNAcentral.